UUCACUCUCUACACUGGCUCCCUUGGGACAACAUUCUUACUUUUCAAAGCAUACAAAGUCAUCAAGAACAAGAAUGAUCUCAAUCUCUGCAUUGAAAUUGUGAGGGCUUGUGAUACUGCUUCACGAGAAUCAGGACAUGUGACAUUCAUCUGUGGUCAGGCUGGUGUGUGCACCCUUGGUGCCAUGGCUGCAAAGAACGCUGGGGAUCAUGCACUGCUCAACCACUACCUAUCCCAGUUCAAAGCGGUAAUGCUUUGAAAAGUUGUUGGCUAGAAAGUUCGUAAUGGUUGCCUUCUCGAGCCGAAAAAGAUAUUUAUGCGGUAGUAAACCAUUGUUUCUUUGUUUGGAAUUCUAAAUGCUUAUUGGUUACCCUGGUAACUCUUGUGUACUAUCCAUUUUUUGUUCCUUGUCAAAUGUACUACCUCAUUUGGCCAUCACUUCUCUUGGGGGUUUCUGGAUUGUGUAUGAAUUGCCACUUCAUAGGGUAUGGUCAUGAAGGAAAUCAUCAAGGAUGGAAUACGAUUAGCCAACAAGGGUAGUUGCCCAUUGAUUUUUUCUUAUAUGGAGGCUUUCUCAAACAUAUGUUGAGUUGCUGGAAAUCCAAAACUCAAUGAUUGUGGAAGAGCACGAUGUCUCAUGUGAAGCUCCAAUCCAAAAUGAGUAAGUUGCAGGAUAGUCCAUAGAGUGAGUGAGGUUUUGAGAAGCUAUCACCAGACUAUCAUACUGUCAGAUCCAUCUGAGUUAUGGGCUGCAUAUAGGUGGUUAUACCAAUGACCCUAUAAAAAUAGAGAUCUAAAAAUACCCAAGAAUUCUUUUAUUAGAGACGAUACUGUUAUUACUCCUUAGUUGUUGUGACUUGUGAUUAAUGACCUUUUUAUAUAUAAUACAUUGUCAAUGAUGAUGAGGAACUGACGAGGGCCUCACAAGCAUUGUUGUGUGAAAGUAACACAGUUUUGAAAUAGUGAUCGCUCAGUGGUCAUCAAGGACUGGAUAAAGCUCCACAGGUAAAAUCUGGAUCUUCUUCGAUUGUUUCAUUUGUUUCUUUUAACUAUUUAACUAUGCAUUGUUGAAUUCUUCCAAUGGGGUUAUAGGCCUUAUAGUCAAUCCUUGGUGUGGCAUGUGGGUGUGUUUAACUUAGAUGUAAAUAUUAUCAUGUAAUUCAAAAUGAGCAGAAAUAGGCAUAACCUGUUUUUCCAUAGGGUCGCCCAGACGCUUGAAAAUGGUGUUUUAUUGUUAUAGGUUGGCCUCAAGUACAAUGAGUCAGUAGUAAUAGUGGUAACUGGAUGCCCCAAUGGUUGUGCCAAGCCUUAUAUGGCUUAGCUUGGACUGGCUGGCAAUGGACCCAACAGAUAAUGGGUAUUUCACAUGCUAAUUUUGUCAGAAACUAUAGAUCAAUGUUUGGGUUAUAAAGAAGUGUUCUGUAGCAGACAUCAGAGUGCAUCAUGUGACAAUUACCACUGUGGGCCCACUGGCAUGGAAAUGCUGCAACAGGACAUUGUCGCAUCCGAAUGCAUCAUGGCCCUUCCAUUUUUUCCAUCAAAUGUUGUCUCUUUUUCGCCAAUGGUAGGCCCUUAAUGCAAAUGGAAGAUUUGAACCCAACAGAUAAGAUAGACAUGAAGGAUAAUGAUUUCUUCCAGUGAAAUGUGGUUAGAGUUAGAGCUAACAAAUGUUACUCGGAAAUGUCUAUUGCAAUGUUAAUAUACACUGGUCUUAGUUUGCAUUUGCUACCCUUCCCAAAGCCACACCAAUACCACUAUCAUACAAAAGUAAUAUCACUGUUUUUUAAGUCUCUGGACAAUUCUAAACCUUACAUUCCUGCCCUGUUUCCCAAUGGUCAAAAACUUGAAAUGGUUCUCUAUCUCUUGCAUGAAAGAUCAAGAUCAACAAUCUUGAUCAUCGAAUUUGUGUACAGUAGCGGAGGUAAACUGGCCACCAGGAUUAGAUGACUCUCUGCUUCUUCUCUUCCUUGUUAUGUUUCCACCAGGUUCGCAAAACUAUAUAAAUUUAGAAAAUCUACGAAGCUUCUAUUAGAAUUUUAGAAAUUCUAUGAAUUCGGCUACAUCAACAUAGAGGUUGAAUUCAACUACCCAAUGAAGAUGAAAUUCUGUGAAUUCCGUCUUCAUUGGGUAGACAGUUUCAAGGGAAGCUGGAGGGAAUGGAACCUGAAGUUGUGGGUCCUCUGCUGCUGCAGGAAAAUACUUCGACAUGCCAGUAUUUGUGUUCUUAUAAUUAAAAAAUGUUAAUAAAAUCCUUGAUGAGGACUUCUGUUCCAUUUAUGCCAUAUGGGGCAAAGAUUGUGAUUCAGUCCUUUUUGUUCUUGUUUUGUAGCUUAACGAGGAGUACCAACAAAUUUUAUUUUAUUUUUUUUCU
Magnolia sinica is the source of this 2370-nucleotide long non-coding RNA. RefSeq lists it as uncharacterized. The record is from RefSeq and is a predicted model, not a curated record. NCBI's taxonomy places the organism in Eukaryota, Viridiplantae, Streptophyta, Magnoliopsida, Magnoliales, Magnoliaceae. The transcript is spliced from 3 exons.